CCUGCGGAAGGAUCAUUAUUGAAAUACUCAAGGAGAGUGCUGUUGCUGGGGGUUUUUUACAAAGGACAAAUGGGCACGCCUUUUCUGUCCAUUUCUUUCAAAAACCUGUGAACCUCUUGUAGGCCAAGAAAUUGGCCUAUGUUUCUCUUAUCACAAACCCCUUUGCAUGUUGCAUGAACGUUUUAUUCGUAAAAGUUAAUAUAAAACAACUUUCAACAACGGAUCUCUUGGCUCUCGCAUCGAUGAAGAACGCAGCGAAAUGCGAUAAGUAAUGUGAAUUGCAGAAUUCAGUGAAUCAUCGAAUCUUUGAACGCACCUUGCGCUCCUUGGUAUUCCGAGGAGCAUGCCUGUUUGAGUGUCACAAACUUCUCAACCUUGCAACGUUUGAUUGUUGUCCAAGGCUUGGAUUGUGGAGGUUCUGCCGGACUUUGUCAAAAGUUAGGCUCCUCUGAAAUGCAUCAGCAGACUUUUUUCUUUGCUGGCUUUGGNUUGAUAAAAAUCUAUCUAUGUCAUCGCCAUUCUGUAAACGAAAAGGAGUAGGCUUACAAUCGUCCUCGGACAAAAAACACUUGACGCUUUGACCUCAAAUCAGGUAGGACUACCCGCUGAACUUAAGCAUAUCAAUAAGCGGAGGAAAAGAAACUAACAAGGAUUCCCGUAGUAACGGCGAGUGAAGUGGGAAAAGCUCAAAUUUGAAAUCUGGCAGCCUAUCUUUGGCUUGUCCGA
RNAcentral lists this ribosomal RNA (726 nucleotides) under uncultured Agaricales. RNAcentral describes it as "eukaryotic LSU rRNA". The stretch from base 208 to 361 matches the Rfam family "5.8S ribosomal RNA". Lineage: Eukaryota; Fungi; Basidiomycota; Agaricomycetes; Agaricales. The record is from RNAcentral.